RNAcentral lists this ribosomal RNA (523 nucleotides) under uncultured bacterium. RNAcentral's name for it is "bacterial SSU rRNA". It matches the Rfam family "Bacterial small subunit ribosomal RNA", at positions 356 to 889 of the family's 1533-position model. The record is from RNAcentral.
CGAGAAUCAUUCACAAUGGGGGAAACCCUGAUGGUGCGACGCCGCGUGGGGGAAUGAAGGUCUUCGGAUUGUAAACCCCUGUCAUGUGGGAGCAAAUUAAAAAGAUAGUACCACAAGAGGAAGAGACGGCUAACUCUGUGCCAGCAGCCGCGGUAAUACAGAGGUCUCAAGCGUUGUUCGGAAUCACUGGGCGUAAAGCGUGCGUAGGCUGUUUCGUAAGUCGUGUGUGAAAGGCGCGGGCUCAACCCGCGGACGGCACAUGAUACUGCGAGACUAGAGUAAUGGAGGGGGAACCGGAAUUCUCGGUGUAGCAGUGAAAUGCGUAGAUAUCGAGAGGAACACUCGUGGCGAAGGCGGGUUCCUGGACAUUAACUGACGCUGAGGCACGAAGGCCAGGGGAGCGAAAGGGAUUAGAUACCCCUGUAGUCCUGGCAGUAAACGGUGCACGCUUGGUGUGCGGGGAAUCGACCCCCUGCGUGCCGGAGCUAACGCGUUAAGCGUGCCGCCUGGGGAGUACGGUCGC